Molecule: ribosomal RNA, 269 nt
Filed under: uncultured prokaryote
Description: partial 16S ribosomal RNA
Rfam family: Bacterial small subunit ribosomal RNA
Source: RNAcentral
CACGGGGUUGCGAGCGUUGUCCGGAAUUACUAGGCGUAAAGGGAGCGCAGGCGGCCUUUAAGUCUGAUGUGAAAGCCCACGGCUUAACCGUGGAAGGUCAUUGGAAACUGGUCGACUUGAGUGCAGAAGAGGGAAGUGGAAUUCCAUGUGUAGCGGUGAAAUGCGUAGAGAUAUGGAGGAACACCAGUGGCGAAGGCGGCUUCCUGGUCUGUAACUGACACUGAGGCGCGAAAGCGUGGGGAGCAAACAGGAUUAGAUACCCUGGUAGU